Molecule: unclassified non-coding RNA, 376 nt
Filed under: uncultured bacterium
Lineage: Bacteria
Description: contains 16S-23S intergenic spacer region
Source: RNAcentral
UCCGGGUUUCGCCCGGCAGUCCCUUUAGAGUGCCCAACUGAAUGAUGGCAACUAAAGGCGAGGGUUGCGCUCGUUGCGGGACUUAACCCAACACCUCACGGCACGAGCUGACGACAGCCAUGCACCACCUGCGCAGAAGUCCCUUGCGGGAGGUGCUCACUUUCGUGAGCAUUUCCUCUGCAUGUCAAACCCAGGUAAGGUUCUUCGCGUUGCCUCGAAUUAAACCACACGCUCCGCUGCUUGUGCGGGCCCCCGCCUAUUCCUUUGAGUUUCAAUCUUGCGAUCGUACUUCCCAGGUGGGAUACUUAAUGCUUUCGCUCAGACACUUACAGUUUAUCGCAAAUGUCGAGUAUCCAUAGUUUAGGGCGUGGACUAC